This is a long non-coding RNA of Rhododendron vialii, 673 nucleotides long. RefSeq lists it as uncharacterized. The transcript is spliced from 3 exons. NCBI's taxonomy places the organism in Eukaryota, Viridiplantae, Streptophyta, Magnoliopsida, Ericales, Ericaceae. The record is from RefSeq and is a predicted model, not a curated record.
GUGGAGGAGCAGGAGGAUGAAAAAGAGGUCCUGGAUGAUUCGAUUGAGACUCUUCGCUUCUCUUUCACAACCUCGUCCAGAUUCAUUUCCUGAAAUAAAAGUGCAUAUGGUUUUAGACUCUGCUAAAGACCGCGCCUGUGGUUUCUAAAUGCUUGGUUUCAAAUAGAUGCUAAUCUGCAACAAUAACUGAAGGUGCAGAAGUCUUAAAUUUUUACUUCCAGUGCUGCUAGUGAAGAUCCAUGGACAGCCAGGACCGGUGGUGGUGAAGAGAUCAGAACUGCCGGCAACAAAUUCCGCAAUUACACGAGGGUGUUCGAAAGAGAUAAAUGACCCGGCCUGAUAACAAGUGCCAUCAUCAUUAUUCAACGUCCUGACGCAGGCUCGAAUCAUGGGUACAUAACUAUUUUUUUACCAAAUCUGUGAGUGAAAAUUUGGAAAAUGCUUAUCAAGAUUGAUUAAUAUUGUCACUAACAACUCACAACCCACAUGACAUGUUUGGAAAAUGCUUUAUCAAGAAAAGGGUAUGCAAACUUCCCAGCUUGCAUUCCAACAUAUCAACAGCACAUAGAUAUGACAUUCAUCUUUCAACUAUCCCAUCUGGACAUUAGAAUGCAGCAACUCAUCAAUCAGUAUCCCAAGUGGGUAGCUUGUAUUUUUGUCACAAUAGGUUGCA